GUUGACUUGUUCGAAAGCGAAUCAUACAUGUUGCGGUCUUCUCUCGUAAUUUCUGUUGCCAUCCUACACAAAGCGGCGAAGAAGCAAUGCCUUUUUCACCAUUUUGUCUAUGAAGAACUGUCAAAAGUAAAUGGUCAAGCUUACAACGACGUUCUCUUCAUUUGGCUUGGUGUUGAGUUGGCGUUUUGACACGUCUCACGAGAACACUAUCCGUCCAUUUUCUACCGCUUAUUCCCUUUGGGGUCGCUGGUGCCUAUCUCAGCUACAAUCGGGCGGAAGGCGGAGUACACCCUGGACAAGUCGCCACCUCAUUGCAGGGCAAAUUUAGUGUUGCCAAUCAACCUAUCCCUAGGUGCAUGUCUUUGGAAGUGGAAAACUUACAAACAAUGAGAAACCUUGGAGGGGACCGCUGAUUGGAGAGCUAGCUUCCGCCGCUAGUGGGUCCAUGGCGAUGACUUCCUUUUUUUGUUUGAUCAGCUGUUUAGGCACCGUUUGGAAACAAUUAAAGUAUGUAAACAAACAUUAAUAAAAUAUUUUGUGCUGCGGGUUAUAGUCCAAAGCAGCUAAUAUAUGGAAAUAUUUUUAUCUUGGGUGCUCUAUAGACUGGAAAAUAUGGAAAUCUGAUUUUAAAAAAUAAUCACUUGACAGCACUAACAUAAUCGACAAGAAAAUUUGUCACCGGGAGUUAUAUUUACCAUUAAUUAAACACGUUGAAAACCUUAUUCGGGUGUUACCAUUUAGUGGUCAAUUGCACGGAAUAUGUACUGUACUGUGCAAUCUACUAAUAAAAGUUUCAAUCAAUCAGUCAAUCAAUCAAAGUCGAUAACGGCCGUGACGUCCUCACUCGUGUUUUUUUUGCGGGCGGAAGUGGGUCACGUGCAAAAACAAUGUCAGUGAUAACAUGUCAAGUUUGACAACAUUUCCUCGUAUUCUUGUUAAAAACAUGAAUACCUCGCUCGUUUUGCAAAGCGGACCUUUUAAAGCGGAGGCAUGAUGUCAGGAGGGAGGAUGAAUGCAGUCUCAGUCUCGGUAAGAGUGUUAGCGUCUACCUGGCAAGCUCGCCCGACAAAAGUGAGGCAAUGUGCGAAAAAAAAUUAUUUUAGCUAAAGAGUCAGUCAGCUAAACUUUGUUUACAUCAAUUUCAAGUACCAUUUUAAGCCAAUUUGCAAUGCAAUUAAAAACGGCACACUAACAAACCCGAACAGUACACGCACACACACACACACACACACACACACACACACACACACACACACACACACACACACACACACACACACACACACACACACACACACACACACACACACACACACACACGCACACUAA
This is a long non-coding RNA of Nerophis ophidion (straightnose pipefish), 1329 nucleotides long. RefSeq lists it as uncharacterized. The transcript has 2 exons. The record is from RefSeq and is a predicted model, not a curated record. Lineage: Eukaryota; Metazoa; Chordata; Actinopteri; Syngnathiformes; Syngnathidae.